Stylophora pistillata is the source of this 1518-nucleotide long non-coding RNA. The record is from RefSeq and is a predicted model, not a curated record. NCBI's taxonomy places the organism in Eukaryota, Metazoa, Cnidaria, Anthozoa, Scleractinia, Pocilloporidae.
CACCCCUUGGCCAGUUAAAGCGACAAAAGAGAAAGACGUGACAAGAUCGUCUUAAAUUCAGCAUCAAAACUUCUACCGAUUCGACUGAUUUCAACUCCGCAAACCAACUGUGGUCUCGACAGUUACUCGUCCUCAGCCGAUUUUCCAGAGAUCAAGGCACAGAAAGCAAGGAAAAAUAAGUCGUUAUUUUCAAGGUUUUCACCAGACUCCAUGGCCACUAAGACCUGGACGUUGUUACGCGGAGCGAUUUUGAAAAUGAACAAACAAAGAUACUUGUCUGUGAUGCAGGGUAGAAACAAUUUAACUGCCUCAAUAAAUUCAAGAACACUUUCUCAAAACGCGAAGGUUACUGAUACAGGAUUCCAGAAAAUGGAAAUUAAUAAACCUGGAGAGGACUUGCAUAGGACUGAAUUUAUAAAUACAGGAAUUAUGUCAAUGGCAGAUUUGCCUUCUGCACACUCGCUGAGAUCCAAAGACCAGUUUUCCGCACAGGCGCAAAGUGGUUUGGAAUGCAGAAGAUGUUUGACGCAUUUGGCUCACUGGACCACGCAUGAAAAAACUCACGAUUCUAAAGAUGACGAGAAAACUAAAGAAUCGCUUUGUGGACUUUUAUUCAACAGUUAUGUGCUCUGUCUGUUCGUACUCGGUUCUUAUGUACCAAUGGAUUAGCUGGAACUCGUGAAGAAGCCUGAUCGCGUUUUUGCUUGGUGUUGAUUAACAUCGGCAGUCAUUUAAAAUUACCCAAUAUGUUCACAACAUGUAUAUAAGUUAAAUAUUAUUUCUCUAAGACUACGAGGAAGUAUAGUUCUACAUUGCAUAUUCCUUCUAGAAAAUUAGUGUUCGUAGUUUUAAUCGGAGGAACAGUUGUAAAACUUUGAAGUAGAUUAUAAAAAAUAUUUUCAGAUACAGGAGGUCAUUCAGCAAUUCUAAGUAAUCGAAGAGGAGAUGGAGGAACUGACCAUAUAAGGAAAAUAUAGUUUUCGACGAAUUUAAAGAGCAAUUUAAAUAUAAUUUUCUGUAAGCUUAGAGUAGAAUCUGAACUCUACCUGAAUGUCUCCUUGAAUGAACUCUUUCUUAUUCUUAUCCCCCGCUUACAAAACAAAAAAAUUAACAAAAUUCAUCAAAGAAAUUUCAAAGCGCGAACAAAUAAAGUACAUUUACAAAAAAACACCAGAUUUAGGGGAAAUGUCCACCUAAUUCAAUCUUCUUCCUUUUCCCUUUGUUUUUCCGUGUAGGCUGUUGGACAGUGGAAAAAAGAUACUGCACACAAAACUAGUGGUGGCUCAUAGCAUCAGAGUUCAUCUCUGUGUCCACAGCAUAAAGUAAAGGAUCGUUGCUAUUCACUCUAGACAGGAUGUUAACCCAAACAGAGCCUUUCCCUUGUUUUGCUUGCAUUCACCCUAGCUCGAGGUAAUUUACAAGAGUUCAGAAAUUUUAGAUGACUUCUUGGUUCUUCACAUAGUUUACCUUUCCUUUUCCAUUCUUUUCCCCAAGUCUUGUUAAUAAGUUCACAAAUUU